GAUGAACGCUGGCGGCGUGCCUAAUACAUGCAAGUCGAGCGAACGGACGAGAAGCUUGCUUUUCUGAUGUUAGCGGCGGACGGGUGAGUAACACGUGGAUAACCUACCUAUAAGACUGGGAUAACUUCGGGAAACCGGAGCUAAUACCGGAUAAUAUUUUGAACCGCAUGGUUCAAAAGUGAAAGACGGUCUUGCUGUCACUUAUAGAUGGAUCCGCGCUGCAUUAGCUAGUUGGUAAGGUAAUGGCUUACCAAGGCAACGAUGCAUAGCCGACCUGAGAGGGGGAUCGGCCACACUGGAACGGAGACACGGUCCAGACUCCUACGGGAGGCAGCAGUAGGGAAUCUUCCGCAAUGGGCGAAAGCCUGACGGAGCAACGCCGCGUGAGUGAUGAAGGUCUUCGGAUCGUAAAACUCUGUUAUUAGGGAAGAACAUAUGUGUAAGUAACUGUGCACAUCUUGACGGUACCUAAUCAGAAAGCCACGGCUAACUACGUG
This 497-nucleotide ribosomal RNA is filed under the name uncultured bacterium. RNAcentral's name for it is "partial 16S ribosomal RNA". It matches the Rfam family "Bacterial small subunit ribosomal RNA", at positions 28 to 507 of the family's 1533-position model. The record is from RNAcentral.